Molecule: unclassified non-coding RNA, 230 nt
Filed under: plant metagenome
Description: partial contains small subunit ribosomal RNA, internal transcribed spacer 1, and 5.8S ribosomal RNA
Source: RNAcentral
UCUCCGUAGGUGAACCUGCGGAGGGAUCAUUACAGAGUUCUCGCCCCUCCGGGUAGUUCUCCCACCCACUGUGAUUGAUACUGUGUUGCUUUGGCGGGCCGCCGGGCCCUGCCCGGCGGCCGGCCCCGGCUGGCGCGUUCCCGCCAGCGACCUCACCGACUCUGAAUGUUAGUGUCGUCCGUGUAACUAUACCAUCGUUAAAACUUUCAACAACGGAUCUCUUGGUUCUG